GUACUCAUGGUGUAGUGGUUAUCACAUCCGCCUAACACGCGGAAGAUGCCAUGUUCGAGACCUGGUGUAUACA
RNAcentral lists this transfer RNA (73 nucleotides) under Caerostris darwini. RNAcentral describes it as "tRNA-Val". It matches the Rfam family "tRNA". Rfam says of the family: Transfer RNA (tRNA) molecules are approximately 80 nucleotides in length. Their secondary structure includes four short double-helical elements and three loops (D, anti-codon, and T loops). The record is from RNAcentral. Lineage: Eukaryota; Metazoa; Arthropoda; Arachnida; Araneae; Araneidae.